This is an unclassified non-coding RNA of Lingula anatina, 2225 nucleotides long. The record is from RefSeq and is a predicted model, not a curated record. NCBI's taxonomy places the organism in Eukaryota, Metazoa, Brachiopoda, Lingulata, Lingulida, Lingulidae.
CCGCCAUGUUUUCGAAUGUUGACAUCACAUGAUCGGGCACGUGUCAUAUUACACUUCCUGGUUGACCGUGGAAUAUACGUUGUCGAACCCAUAUCACUCCAUUUGCAAAGUAGAUUGUUCGGCGUCGUUGAUAUUUUAUCCAGGAAAAUGUCGGGCGGAUAUGGAAGGCCACCUCAAAAUGUGGAUGAUAUGGCAUCGUUGAAGGUUGACAAUUUAACUUAUAGGACCACUCCGGAGGAUUUACGCAGGUCAUUUGAGAAAUACGGAGAUGUUGGCGACGUUUACAUCCCCCGUGACAGAUUUACCCGCGAAAGCCGUGGUUUUGCCUUUGUUCGAUUCUACGACAAGCGGGAUGCCGAAGAUGCAAUGGAUGCGAUGGAUGGAGCCAUCAUGGAUGGAAGAGAACUAAGAGUACAGAUGGCUAGAUAUGGCAGACCAGCUGAGCCUAGACGCGGUGGUCCACGGAGAUCGUAUGGCGGGGGUGGCGGCGGUGGCGGAUACAGAGGAUCUCGAGGAAGAAGGGACAGCAGAAGGCACUCCAGAUCGUACAGUAGAUCUCGCAGCAGAUCUCGCAGCCGGUCUUACAGCAGAAGUCGCAGCAGAAGUCGUGGUGGUAAAGCAAGCAGAAGUCCAUCAAAGAGCAGGAGCAGAAGCCGUAGCAGAUCUGUGUCCAAGUCUCCAGCAUCUUAGACUUGGAUGCUUUGAUAUUACAAGAAUGCUGACCUUCCUUGAACAGUUUUCUCAUGGACCUGGCAGCUUUGCAUCUCCUUCCUCUGCUGUGGAAAGGCGCAGUAGCUGUGCUGAUAAUUUAGCUGAGUUGGGGUAUGCUGUCAUGAGCAGUGCCGAGAGCAGUAGCCCAGGUUGCUGUGCAGAUAAUUUAGCUGUUUGGGGUUGGAGUCUGCUGUCAGUGGCUUGAAGUGUGAGCUGGUCUGAUUAAUGGCUGCACCGAGAGCCGUGGCCCAGAGAGCCAGCGGGAAAGGGCAGGAAUUCACCUCUGAAUGCUGCCAGCAACACACUAGGUCCGAGAAUGCCAAUUCUAAUACUUGAAUUGCAAUAACAUUAAUUGCACUGCAGCAUGAUAUUUAUUUUGGCCUAUACUUUUUUCAACCAUAUGAAAUUUUUAUUUUCACACAGUGACAUCAGACGAAUUUUUUGUUUCCAUUUCAUUUUUGAAUCAAAAAAGAACACUGUACACAUGUUGCAGUUAUUUAGUUUGGACUCCAUUUAAAUCAAAAUUUACUCGUUCAGAUCUGUUGUUUCACAGAUAUGAGAUUAAACUUUUUUUUUUUUUUUUUUUGUUAAAUGUUUAAAUAGAAAUUGGUUGCAGGACAAAAUUCGACAAAAUUUACUCUACAAUAAUAGAUUAUAUUUCAGUUUUUUUUUUUUUUUCCUUGAAUUUUUCUUUCAUAUCAUUUAUUUUUGGGGGUUGGGGGGGAGGGGCAGAGUAUUGACGUUAAUGUAUCAAAAUGUGGGGUUUAUUUUUUGGUGUACGCCCCAGCUUGUUGCUCCAGUGCUGCACAUUUUCACUUUCCAAGCAUGAUGACAUUCUCCUGAUUAAAUUGUUGAAGUGUGUGAUUGUCUCCUUACCUUUAAUAUCACAGGUACUUUGAAAUUGAGUAACCAUGUUGUGUGCAGAUGAGGGAGGUUUCGAUGGGCACCAGGAUUUUUUUCUUGGAGCAGGGCAGUAUUCUGAAAGGGUGAUAUGUCCCCAAUUUCAGGGCCUUGGGUAAUGAGUUGCACUGGGCAUGUGACUUCUGUCACGUGACAGUGCUGAGAAAUGCACUUUUCACUACUUGGAAGAUGCUGUUGCAUUUCCCUUUCCAACUUUUUAGAUUGAUCUAGGUGUGGAACAAAGACUGAAGCUGCAGGUAAGUUAAACAAGGAUAAGGUCAGUAUGGCAGGGGUUUGCUUUUGUUUCCACUUUUGUAAAGAAGCAACAAGAUGCAGAUUAAAAGGUCACCUACAAGAGCAAAAAGGUCUUGCACUGGAUAUUACAUGCUUUUAAGCCAUUCCAGCAUUUGUGGAUGGAAGACCUGACAUUAAAGUAUCUUUGGGAACAUGACCAGAAACCCAGUUGUCGCAUCUAUUUUGUCUAAUGCAUUUCGCAGUAAGCGAGCAAACAGUAUGCAGAUGGUGGACUUCAUAUGUUAUGGUGAAUCCAAAGAUGAACUUCACUACUAGGGAACACAUUGAAUACUGAAGUUUAAAUAAUAAAAUGAUGAAAA